AUUGAACGCUGGCGGCAGGCCUAACACAUGCCAGUCGAGCGGAUGAAGGGAGCUUGCUCCUGGAUUCAGCGGCGGACGGGUGAGUAAUGCCUAGGAAUCUGCCUGGUAGUGGGGGAUAACGUCCGGAAACGGGCGCUAAUACCGCAUACGUCCUGAGGGAGAAAGUGGGGGAUCUUCGGACCUCACGCUAUCAGAUGAGCCUAGGUCGGAUUAGCUAGUUGGUGGGGUAAAGGCCUACCAAGGCGACGAUCCGUAACUGGUCUGAGAGGAUGACCAGUCACACUGGAACUGAGACACGGUCCAGACUCCUACGGGAGGCAGCAGUGGGGAAUAUUGGACAAUGGGCGAAAGCCUGAUCCAGCCAUGCCGCGUGUGUGAAGAAGGUCUUCGGAUUGUAAAGCACUUUAAGUUGGGAGGAAGGGCAGUAAGUUAAUACCUUGCUGUUUUGACGUUACCAACAGAAUAAGCACCGGCUAACUUCGUG
RNAcentral lists this ribosomal RNA (484 nucleotides) under uncultured bacterium. RNAcentral's name for it is "partial 16S ribosomal RNA". It matches the Rfam family "Bacterial small subunit ribosomal RNA", at positions 30 to 507 of the family's 1533-position model. The record is from RNAcentral.